GGUUUGAUCCUGGCUCAGAUUGAACGCUGGCGGGAUGCUUUACAUGCAAGUCGAACGGCAGCACGGACUUCGGUCUGGUGGCGAGUGGCGAACGGGUGAGUAAUGUAUCGGAACGUGCCUAAUGGCGGGGAUAACUACGCGAAAGCGUAGCUAAUACCGCAUACGCCCUUCGGGGGAAAGCGGGGGGACCUUCGGGCCUCAACACUAUUGGAAGCAGCCGAUAUCGGAUUAGCUAGUUGGUGGGUAACGGCUCACCAAGGCGACGAUCCGUAGCUGGUUUGAGAGGACGACCAGCCACACUGGGACUGGGAACACGGCCCAGACUCCUACCGGGAGGCAGCAGUGGGGAAUUUUUGGACAGUGGGGAAACCCUGAUUCAACCAUCGCAUUGUGCUGAUGCGGGCUGCAGGUUGCCAAAAAGCGCUUUUGGCAGGAAAGAAACGGCACGGGAUAAUACCCCGUGCAACUGACGGUACCUGCAGAAUAAGCACCGGCUAACUACGUGCCAGCAGCCGCGGUAAUACGUAAGUGCAAGCGUUAAUCGAAUUACUGGGCGUAAAGCGUGCCAGGCGGUUCGGAAAAGAAAGAUGUGAAAUCCCGAGCUUAACUUUGGAACUGCAUUUUAACUACCGAGCUAGAGUGUGUCAGAGGGAGGUGGAAUUCCGCGUGUAGCAGUGAAAUGCGUAGAUAUGCGGAGGAGCACGAUGGCGAAGGCAGCCUCUGGGAUAACACUGACGCUCAUGCACAGCGUAAGGGGAGCAAACAGGAUUAGAUGCCCUGGUAGUCCACGCCUAAACGAUGUCAACUAGCUGUUGGGGCCUUCGGGCCUUGGUAGCGCAGCGCUAACGCGUGAAGUUGACCGCCUGGGGAGUACGGUCGCAAAGAUUAAAACUCAAAGGAAUUGACGGGGACCCGCACAAGCGGUGGAUGAUGUGGAUUAAUUCGAUGCAACGCGAAAAACCUUACCUACCCUUGACAUGUCUGGAAUCCCGAAGAGAUUUGGGAGUGCUCGCAAGAGAACCGGAACACAGGUGCUGCAUGGCUGUCGUCAGCUCGUGUCGUGAGAUGUUGGGUUAAGUCCCGCAACGAGCGCAACCCUUGUCAUUAGUUGCUACGAAAGGCACUCUAAUGAGACUGCCGGUGACAAACCGGAGGAAGGUGGGGAUGACGUCAAGUCCUCACAUGGCCCUUAUGGGUAGGGCUUCACACGUCAUACAAUGGUCGGGACAGAGGGUCGCCAACCCGCGAGGGAGCCAAUCCCAGAAACCCGAUCGUAGUCCGGAUCGCAGUCUGCAACUCGACUGCGUGAAGUCAGAAUCGCUAGUAAUCGCGGAUCAGCAUGUCGCGGUGAAUACGUUCCCGGGUCUUGUACACACCGCCCGUCACACCAUGGGAGUGGGUUUUACCAGAAGUAGUUAGCCUAACCGUAAGGAGGCGAUUACCACGGUAGGAUUCAUGACUGGGGUGAAGUCGUAACAAGGUAAC
RNAcentral lists this ribosomal RNA (1485 nucleotides) under uncultured Bordetella sp. RNAcentral describes it as "partial 16S-23S ribosomal RNA intergenic spacer". It matches the Rfam family "Bacterial small subunit ribosomal RNA". Lineage: Bacteria; Pseudomonadati; Pseudomonadota; Betaproteobacteria; Burkholderiales; Alcaligenaceae. The record is from RNAcentral.